CACUGAGCUGCUGCCUGACUCGUGACACACCUGUCUAAAUAGACACGCAGAGGUGCAACGGUGAAAGCUACAAAACCGGCAACUAUUGACAACAAAUCUGAGGAAGAUGGAGUAUAACAAGAAACAUGAGGAAGUUGUCAUUUCGACUCUCCAAGUUCAAGUGGACGAUGUGAAAAAUGUCAUGAGUCAAAACAUCGAAAAGGUCUUGGACAGAGAAGAGAGACUGACGGAACUGGCAGAUCGAAGCAGCGAUCUGGAGACAGCGGCUCACGGUUUCCAAAAAACAACCGCAAAGGUUUCCAGGAAGAUGUGGUGGAAAAACACUAAACUUAUCAUAAUUAUUACAGUAGUUGUCCUUAUCAUUGUGCUUUUCAUUAUUCUUUUUGCCACGGGUGCCAUUCCUUCAUAAGCAACUUUCUGAGUAAUUGAUCACAAGCAAACACUGGUUCUGUAAAAAAAAAUGUUUUGUAAUAUUUUAAAGCGCUAAUAUUUAUGCUUCGUUUUAUUUUUGUACAAUAAACAUUGUG
This is a long non-coding RNA of Sphaerodactylus townsendi, 527 nucleotides long. RefSeq lists it as uncharacterized. NCBI's taxonomy places the organism in Eukaryota, Metazoa, Chordata, Lepidosauria, Squamata, Sphaerodactylidae. The record is from RefSeq and is a predicted model, not a curated record. The transcript is spliced from 3 exons.